This 72-nucleotide transfer RNA is filed under the name Loxodonta africana (African savanna elephant). It matches the Rfam family "tRNA". From Rfam's summary of the family: Transfer RNA (tRNA) molecules are approximately 80 nucleotides in length. Their secondary structure includes four short double-helical elements and three loops (D, anti-codon, and T loops). Further hydrogen bonds mediate the characteristic L-shaped molecular structure. tRNAs have two regions of fundamental functional importance: the anti-codon, which is responsible for specific mRNA codon recognition, and the 3' end, to which the tRNAs corresponding amino acid is attached (by aminoacyl-tRNA synthetases). tRNAs cope with the degeneracy of the genetic code in two manners: having more than one tRNA (with a specific anti-codon) for a particular amino acid; and 'wobble' base-pairing, i.e. permitting non-standard base-pairing at the 3rd anti-codon position. The record is from Rfam by way of RNAcentral. Lineage: Eukaryota; Metazoa; Chordata; Mammalia; Proboscidea; Elephantidae.
GGGGGUACAGCCCAGCAGUAGAGCACACGCUUAGCAUGCGCAAGGUCCUGGGUUUGAUGCCCAGUACUUCCA